GUUGUACCUUUUAACAAACAAUAUUUUGUUAGCUUUGAUGAUCGGUCCUGUGUCGUGACUUUUGCUUUGCUAAGACAACGGUCCAAACCAGCGAUGGAUUAUUGAAAUAUAAUGUGGCCUCUUCAUUUUCAACUGGGAAGGACCUGCAUGGACUUGAGAAUACAGAGCCAAUCGUUUUUUUUGUGAGUGUCUCAGAGAUCCCACCUUUGGAGCAGUUGUCAGGAGCCUCAAGGCGGUGCCGUUCGUCUUGGUCCCAUCCCUCUAGCACCUAGCGUUACCGCUCCAGAAGAGAGAAACCUUGUACGUUUCGAACAGUUUAUCUCCUUCCGGGAAUAAUCCACAGACUCCAAACUGAGCCUGGCUUGUUUGCGAUGUCCUGUUGUUCAACAUAUUCUGAUUUCAUACUUAUCGGACCAACAUAAGUGAGUUUUUUUGGCUAAAAAUCGCUAAACGUUAGCAAUUCCACUGCUUUGUUAUUUUACUAUGUGGUGGUGGAGAUAAUCACGUACAAGAGGUUUCGGUGGGCAUGGCUGUCGUUCCUUAAAUUGGUGGACAUCGGGUUGAGGGCUUUUGUUGUCCUCAAUGCGGGCCUAAUCCAAGGGCUGUGGUGUUGGAUGGCACCACACUUGGUUAUUAUCGCUGGUUUGACAAGCAGCCCCAGACUACACCGCCCACUCAGGACCAAGGGAAAGAA
Long non-coding RNA from Alosa alosa (allis shad), 694 nucleotides. RefSeq lists it as uncharacterized. The record is from RefSeq and is a predicted model, not a curated record. The transcript is spliced from 4 exons. Lineage: Eukaryota; Metazoa; Chordata; Actinopteri; Clupeiformes; Clupeidae.